Molecule: long non-coding RNA, 1595 nt
Filed under: Sus scrofa (pig)
Lineage: Eukaryota; Metazoa; Chordata; Mammalia; Artiodactyla; Suidae
Description: lncRNA (ENSSSCG00070013814.1)
Source: RNAcentral
UAGUUGGAUUCGUUAACCACUGGGCCACGACGGGAACUCCUGAAUUUAUUUUAAUGAUUGGGAUACAUACACACACAAACACACACACACGUACACACAUAUAUGUAUAUAUGUUUGUGUAUAGAUAUUUUAAAUUAUUAUAUUAAGUAUUCAUCUAUAUAUUACAUAUAAAAAAUUAUUUUUCUAUCUGUAUAAGCUGUGAAGAAUGAACAUAGGGAGUUUCAAAUUAAGACGAGAAGUCCUAGAAAUUUGACAACUCUGUUGUAUGGGAAGGAAUGAUAAGUUCUUACACAGUUAACAAGUAGCAAAAUCAUACAGCCUGUCUGUGAAUAAUUAAUUAGGGAAAUUUUUCAAAAAAGACAGCUAACUACAUAGACUCAAUCUCUCACUUUCUAGGAGAUGAAACAUCUAGAUGGCCCUGCUAACUACAGUAUUAUGUUAAUAAGAGAUGCAUCAACUUUUAAAUAAUUCCAGCAAAUCAGUUAUUUUCAACCAACUGCAAACAAGAGAGAUGAGUCAUCAUCUGGAGCACAUGGAUUAUGGGAGGAUUCCAAAUACCCUUCCCCAGUGCAUAUUCAAAACAUCCCAAGUUUAAAACUGGAAAUGCUGAUUGCUUCAGAGCCACUUAAAGUCAUUCCUUAGAAACAUCAUGCUCUUGCCAUUUUGUGAAAAUAUGUCCAAGAAAUGAAAUGAGUCUGAGCAUUCCUGGAUAUACACUAUAAUUUCUACUAUUUUAAGCUAAACAACAUCAGUUCAAUAGGAUGCAGGGUAAAUGCAAACCUAAAGGAGGUAUGGUUGAGAGAAAUAAUUCUAUAUAUUAUUAGGUAAUAUCCAUAGAAUGUUUUUUUAUAAUUAAAUUCACAUGCAUAAUAUUUUUUAAUAUUUUAAUUUUUAACUAUUUUUAUUAUAUUUGAUUUACAGUGUUCUGUCAAUUUCUGCUGUAAAGCAAAGUGACCUAGUUAUACAUAGAUAUGCAUACUUUUUCUUAAAUUAUCCUCCAUCAUGUUCCAUCACAAAUGAUUGGAUAUAGUUCCCUAUGCUAUAGAGCAGGGUCUUAUUGCUUAUCCUCUUCAGUGCAAUAGUUUGUGACUACUAACCCCCAAAUCCCAGUCCAUCCCACUCCCUCCCCAUCACCCUUGGCAACCACAAGUAUGUUCUCCAUGUCUAUGAGUUUGUUUCUUUUCUGUGGAAAGGUUCAUUUGUGCCAUAUAUUAGAUUCUAGAUAUAAAUGAUAUAUGGUAUUUGUCUUUCUCUUUCUGAUUUACUUCACUUAGUAUGAGAGUCUCUAGUUGCAUCCGUGUUGCUGCAAAUGGCAUUAUUUUGUUCUUUUAUGGCUGAAUAGUAUUCCAUUGUGUAUAUAUAUAUACACCACAUCUUCUUGUCAAUGGUCAUUUGGGUUGUUUCCAUGUCUUGGCUAUUGUGAAUAGUACUGCAGUGAACAUACAGGUACAUGUCUUUUUCAAUUAAACUUUUUUCUGGAUAUAUACCCAGGAGUGGGAUUGCUGGGUUGUAUGGUAGUUCUAUAUUUAUUUCCUGAGAUACUUCCAUACAUUUUUCCAUAGAGGUUGUAGCAAUUUACAUGCCCACCAACAUUG